This 716-nucleotide long non-coding RNA is filed under the name Mytilus galloprovincialis (Mediterranean mussel). Lineage: Eukaryota; Metazoa; Mollusca; Bivalvia; Mytilida; Mytilidae. The record is from RNAcentral.
GGUGAUUUGGUCCUGUCAGGUGCUGGUGGGUCCUGAUUCUGUGCUGGUGGGUUUGUUUACAUUGUAUCAGAACGGCAAUAAAACGACUGUUUUGUUGCUUAAUUUUUCUCUGAUGCGUCAUAAGUACCAUGCAAAGUAUAUUACAACAAUAUUAUAUUGCAAAAGUCGUGCAAGUUCGUUAAACGGAAUUGUCCUGACGCAGUGCUGGUGAUAAGAAAAACGGUCCUGGUUCUGUGCUCCUAUGUCCUGGUUCUGUGCCUUUAUAUUUUAGUUAAAAGUGGCAUAUAUUCAAGAUCAUUGAUGCUGUACUGUUAUUGGCUAAUUAACUGUUGUCUGCUUUCUUGAAAUUGACAUUGUUGUGAAUCUGUUUACUGUUAUUAUGAGAGAAAAAAUACCCCUAUAUUUUUAUUUUUUUUUUAAAUUAACUGUAAUCUUAUUUAUUGGCCUGUUAAUGGAACCCUUCUUGCACCCUUUUAAGAUAAGAAAAUAUGUUUACGAUUUUCGGGAUUACGAUCAUUUUGCAAGAUCACCAAAAUACGUUGUAAAUUAUACAAUACUUAUAUAAAGUAGAUGAUGUGGUAUGUUUGUUGUCAAUGGACAAAUUUCCAUAAGAAACCAAAGGAAGUAUGUGUUAACAACCAUACGUCAUCGUACGACCUUCAACAAUAACCCAUAAAAUAAAAAUGUAAAAGGUUUUGCAUAAAAAUGGAGAGCAA